AGACUUAACUGGCAGGGGAGACACCAUGAUCGCAUAGGUGGUUUUCCCAGGGUAAGGCUUGCCCGUUGCACUCUGGAUGUGCUGUCCCCUGCAGUUUUCCCAUAUAAGAACCUUGAUGACUGUGUAAUCUGUGCUAGUGGUGGUUCGUGUUCAGACUUUCCCCAU
This 165-nucleotide small nuclear RNA is filed under the name Catagonus wagneri (Chacoan peccary). RNAcentral's name for it is "U1 spliceosomal RNA (ENSCWAG00000017491.1)". It matches the Rfam family "U1 spliceosomal RNA". Rfam says of the family: U1 is a small nuclear RNA (snRNA) component of the spliceosome (involved in pre-mRNA splicing). Its 5' end forms complementary base pairs with the 5' splice junction, thus defining the 5' donor site of an intron. The record is from Rfam by way of RNAcentral. Lineage: Eukaryota; Metazoa; Chordata; Mammalia; Artiodactyla; Tayassuidae.